GGAGGAGUGGCAGAGCUGGUUGAAUGCACCGGUCUUGAAAACCGGCGUGCGUUAACGCGUACCGGGGGUUCGAAUCCCUCCUCCUCCG
This 88-nucleotide transfer RNA is filed under the name Saprospiraceae bacterium. Its description in RNAcentral is "tRNA-Ser". It matches the Rfam family "tRNA". From Rfam's summary of the family: Transfer RNA (tRNA) molecules are approximately 80 nucleotides in length. Their secondary structure includes four short double-helical elements and three loops (D, anti-codon, and T loops). Further hydrogen bonds mediate the characteristic L-shaped molecular structure. tRNAs have two regions of fundamental functional importance: the anti-codon, which is responsible for specific mRNA codon recognition, and the 3' end, to which the tRNAs corresponding amino acid is attached (by aminoacyl-tRNA synthetases). tRNAs cope with the degeneracy of the genetic code in two manners: having more than one tRNA (with a specific anti-codon) for a particular amino acid; and 'wobble' base-pairing, i.e. permitting non-standard base-pairing at the 3rd anti-codon position. Lineage: Bacteria; Pseudomonadati; Bacteroidota; Saprospiria; Saprospirales; Saprospiraceae. The record is from RNAcentral.